UAAGGAAUAUUGGUCAAUGGACGCAAGUCUGAACCAGCCAUGCCGCGUGGAGGAUUAAGGCCCUCUGGGUUGUAAACUCCUUUUAUCUGGGAAGAAAUGUACUUUUUCUUGAGUACUUGACGGUACCAGAGGAAUAAGCACCGGCUAACUCCGUGCCAGCAGCCGCGGUAAUACGGAGGGUGCAAGCGUUAUCCGGAUUCACUGGGUUUAAAGGGUGCGUAGGUGGGCAGGUAAGUCAGUGGUGAAAUCUCCGGGCUUAACCCGGAAACUGCCGUUNAUACUAUUUGUCUUGAAUAUUGUGGAGUUAAGCGGAAUAUGUCAUGUAGCGGUGAAAUGCUUAGAUAUGACAUAGAACACCAAUUGCGAAGGCAGCUUACUACACAAUCAUUGACGCGGAGGCACGAAAGCGUGGGGAU
RNAcentral lists this ribosomal RNA (416 nucleotides) under uncultured bacterium. RNAcentral's name for it is "bacterial SSU rRNA". It matches the Rfam family "Bacterial small subunit ribosomal RNA", at positions 355 to 768 of the family's 1533-position model. The record is from RNAcentral.